AAGAUGAAUCUCCACAUGAUGUGGGAGCUGUGGGGUCUCAAGGAGGAUGGCCUCUGUCUAGGAGGAAAUCAGAAUUUCAGUGGAACUGUGGAAGAGUUCUGACCCAAAUACAAGUCAGAAGUGCUUGUGAGUUCCAGUGAGAUUCAACAAUUGCAGAAUCUCUUUUUCUCAGAGAGCAGAUACGUCAUAUUCUGUGUGUUCAUGUGUGAGUGUGUCACCCCCCCAACCUUUGCAGUUCCUGUGUAGUCCAGAGGAAUGACUAGCUCAUGGUUGUGACAUAGCCUCCACGACAGCUGAAGAAAGGGGAGCUGACCAGUAAGUUCUUGAUCUGGCCUCCGGAGAGCAGUGGACAGUGAGCUUCCCCACUCUUUGAAGCUUAAGUGUUGGAGGUACUUCAAAGUCCUGUUGGAAGACCAACUUUUUUUCGUCUUUUAGGCUUGAGCAUCACACGUCUAAAUGUGAUGUCUGGUCACUUCCAUUUCACAAGCAAAACAUUUUAACUAGGCCAAAAUAGAAGAGGAUAGACCUUCGAAAAGUGAUUCUUUUGAGUCAGACUGUCAAAAGUGGAGAGGCAAGUCCUAGAUCUCAGAGCAUACAGCACUUUCAGGUUUCAUUUUGGGGUCCGAGAGACUCCUUCCAUCCUGUUGCCUUGCCUCUGUGUUGACAACAGCAGUGGCUCCUACCUUGUCACUUGGUGGGUGGGAGAGACGCUAGGGGUGGCCACCAGCAUUCUGGUUAUGCCAGACUAAUUAGUCCCAGGUUCUUACCUACCCAUGCCCUAGAGUCAAAUGCCUAUUGCUGGUUUAAAAACCAAACCAAACCAAAACAA
RNAcentral lists this long non-coding RNA (829 nucleotides) under Mus musculus (house mouse). Its description in RNAcentral is "long non-coding RNA chr2:92549299-92550128". Lineage: Eukaryota; Metazoa; Chordata; Mammalia; Rodentia; Muridae. The record is from RNAcentral.